GUCUAAGUUGGUUUUGAUAUUGAUAUUCUCUGCUGCAGUCAACCCAAAUAGGAAAUCAAAUCAACAUAACAACAAUGGGAGAAGUUACAUGUUUCCUUUUUCAAAUACUAGCACUUCAGAGGCUUAACAACAACUAUGCUCUCGACUUUGUAGUUGAUAGAUACACAUGCAACAUUUGUUAAUGCAAAUACCAUUCAACUACCUGUGUCUAUGAUCAUACUUGAUACUACAGAGAAAUUAUUUCUUUUGGAUAGGCAAUAAUGGUUGUUAUGACUGCCAUUAAGAGUAUAUUGUUGUCACUGCUAUUUUUGUUUGUUUGUUAUUUUCAUGCAAUUCAGGUGGAAAUGGAACUUACCAAAUAGUUUGGUUAGAAACAAAUUAAGUAUGUGAGAGUAUGUACCAUCAAUAUAGUCGCCAAUGUGGCUUUCAAUUUUUCUUCUUCUCUGUUUUCAAGGUCUUGCGAGAUGUGGAAAGAGUUGCAGACUAAGGUGGCUUAAUUACCUAAGGCCAAACCUCAAAAGAGGAAACUACACCAAGGAAGAGGAGGAAACUAUUAUCAAGUUACACAAGCUUGAAAAGAGUUAUGAAAUUGUAAAUCCUAUUUUUUAAUUUUAAGGGAGUUUAGUGGAAAUUAAAUAAGAGGGACAGAGGGAAAUAAAAAAAGUGAUAAAUGUAAUAAACAAUGUGAUACAGUUUAUUUCAGGCAAUAGGUAAUGUAUCAAUUAUGAAAUAAAAUAAUAUAGAAUUGUAUGUUUUGCA
Long non-coding RNA from Glycine soja, 759 nucleotides. RefSeq lists it as uncharacterized. The transcript is spliced from 2 exons. NCBI's taxonomy places the organism in Eukaryota, Viridiplantae, Streptophyta, Magnoliopsida, Fabales, Fabaceae. The record is from RefSeq and is a predicted model, not a curated record.